UCGCCUGUGGAGGAGCCUGCGUUCGAUUAGCUUGUUGGUGGGGUAAUGGCCUACCAGGCGAUGAUCGAUAGCUGGUCUGAGAGGAUGAUCAGCCACACUGGGACUGAGACACGGCCCAGACUCCUACGGGAGGCAGCAGUGGGGAAUAUUGGACAAUGGGGGCAACCCUGAUCCAGCAAUGCCGCGUGUGUGAAGAAGGUUUUCGGAUUGUAAAGCACUUUCGGCGGGGACGAUGAUGACGGUACCCGCAGAAGAAGCCCCGGCUAACUUCGUGCCAGCAGCCGCGGUAAUACGAAGGGGGCUAGCGUUGCUCGGAAUGACUGGGCGUAAAGGGCGUGUAGGCGGUUUGUACAGUCAGAUGUGAAAUCCCCGGGCUUAACCUGGGAGCUGCAUUUGAUACGUGCAGACUAGAGUGUGAGAGAGGGUUGUGGAAUUCCCAGUGUAGAGGUGAAAUUCGUAGAUAUUGGGAAGAACACCGGU
Molecule: ribosomal RNA, 480 nt
Filed under: uncultured bacterium
Lineage: Bacteria
Description: bacterial SSU rRNA
Rfam family: Bacterial small subunit ribosomal RNA
Source: RNAcentral